Syngnathoides biaculeatus (alligator pipefish) is the source of this 484-nucleotide long non-coding RNA. RefSeq lists it as uncharacterized. The transcript is spliced from 2 exons. Lineage: Eukaryota; Metazoa; Chordata; Actinopteri; Syngnathiformes; Syngnathidae. The record is from RefSeq and is a predicted model, not a curated record.
CAGCUGCAAAUGACCAAACGCUGUGAUUGUUUGUGUGAGACGGAGAAGGGGCAACUAAAUAAGGAGGACAUGAUUCUUCUCACUUGAAGAAGAGCGACAAGUCGAUAAUAGACUGAGUGUAAACUCACCCAGCAUGCGCCAUGUCGUCUGGAAACAUAGCUAACGUCACGUACCUGGGUGAGACUCUCAUGGCCGAAGAGUGAAAGCUCCCCCGGGUGAACCUCAAACGCGACACGCAUCGUGGCCCGGCAUCGGAGUAGUAGCCGCAGCCCGGGUUGGUUCCACCACCGGAGCCAUGAGAUGACGCCGAGGCUCGGCGGAGGGCUUCCCCGGCGAGCUCGGUGGGGGUCCCGCUCAGGAGGAGGAGGAGGGAGCAGGACCGAGGAGCUGUCCGGGUGCUGAGACGGGUUUCCGGCUCGCUUGUACGGCAACAACGUGAGCGCAAUUCUCACCCCAGCGCCACAAUAAAGACAUUCACCGAUGA